AUUGAACGCUUGCUUCCUUCCUCCCACCUCCACGUCGAUCGUAUGAAGGGAGCUUGCUCCUUUAUUCAGCGGCGGACGGGUGAGUAAUGCCUAGGAAUCUGCCUGGUAGUGGGGGAUAACGUCCGGAAACGGGCGCUAAUACCGCAUACGUCCUGAGGGAGAAAGUGGGGGAUCUUCGGACCUCACGCUAUCAGAUGAGCCUAGGUCGGAUUAGCUAGUUGGUGGGGUAAAGGCCUACCAAGGCGACGAUCCGUAACUGUUCUGAGAGGAUGAUCAGUCACACUGGAACUGAGACACGGUCCAGACUCCUACGGGAGGCAGCAGUGGGGAAUAUUGGACACUGGGCGAAAGCCUAAUCCAGCCAUGCCGCGUGUGUGAAGAAGGUCUUCGGAUUGUAAAGAAAUGGAAGUUGGGAGGAAGGGCAGUAAGUUAAUACAUUGCUGUUUUGACGUUACCAACAGAAUAAGCCAAGGCUAAAUUCGAG
RNAcentral lists this ribosomal RNA (484 nucleotides) under uncultured bacterium. RNAcentral describes it as "partial 16S ribosomal RNA". It matches the Rfam family "Bacterial small subunit ribosomal RNA", at positions 30 to 507 of the family's 1533-position model. The record is from RNAcentral.